AACGAACGCUGGCGGCAGGCCUAACACAUGCGAGUCGAGCGCGCCCUUCGGGGUGAGCGGCGGACGGGUGAGUAACGCGUGGGAACGUGCCCUUCUCUGCGGAAUAGCCUCGGGAAACUGAGAGUAAUACCGCAUACGCCCUUUGGGGGAAAGAUUUAUCGGAGAAGGAUCGGCCCGCGUUGGAUUAGGUAGUUGGUGGGGUAAUGGCCCACCAAGCCGACGAUCCAUAGCUGGUUUGAGAGGAUGAUCAGCCACACUGGGACUGAGACACGGCCCAGCCUCCUACGGGAGGCAGCAGUGGGGAAUCUUAGACAAUGGGGGCAACCCUGAUCUAGCCAUGCCGCGUGAGUGAUGAAGGCCUUAGGGUUGUAAAGCUCUUUCAGCUGGGAAGAUAAUGACGGUACCAGCAGAAGAAGCCCCGGCUAACUCCGUG
RNAcentral lists this ribosomal RNA (433 nucleotides) under uncultured bacterium. RNAcentral's name for it is "partial 16S ribosomal RNA". It matches the Rfam family "Bacterial small subunit ribosomal RNA", at positions 29 to 507 of the family's 1533-position model. The record is from RNAcentral.